GUUCAGGGGUCUGUCACGUUAUGUUGGUAUAUGAGUGACUAGAAAAAUAUGUUAACUGCGAUUUUAAGAGUUUUAAACGGUAAUUCUUAUCGUGUUGCCUUAGCAUGUCACUUAAUUACUGAUAAAUGUUUGCUGAAAUAAGACUUUAAGGUUUGCUGAAGACGAACUUAUGGAAACAACUGUACAACUAAAAAAACAAAAAUAGGUAUAAAAAGGGCUUUAUGACACCCCCAGGAAUAAGGCUGGGUGUUUGCUACACAGCUGCUGUCUGGGAAGAUGACAGGCCUGUGUGGAGUUCUGGCAGGUCAGCCAAGCCCUUGCAUUUUUUUUUUCUUCUCUAAGGCCUCUCCCUGCUCCAGGGCGUUGGAGUCACACAAGGGGAUGGGAAAUAUCCGCUGCCGCCGCCUCUCCUCUCGCAGAUGAGACAUGUCUGCUUUCGUUCUGGAUGUUUCUGGAUGUGCAAUCUCGUUCAUAAGGUCCCAGGAACUGGGCCCGCGUCCAGGAGCCUAAGGUUCUCCGUUAAUCUGGGGUAACACUUGGGAAACACUGGUGUAGAGGUCAUAUCUUUUUGCUUUUCUCUGGCACAUUUGAAUUUUGUUGAAAGUUACAAGUUACCUAUCAUUUAUGACUCUGAUUCCUGCUUCAGAUGGUCAGUUAGUAAUACCUUAGCGAAGAACCUCGUAUUUUUUUAGUUUAUUUAAUUGAUUUCUGGUUCUGUAUAUUAGUUCUCACCAGCUUACUAAAACUCCAACAGAAAGUGAUAAAUCAAACUUCUAGUUGUAUUUAUUUUGUGUAUGUGUAUUUUGGGGGGUGGGGCUGAUUCGGAGGGGUGUCUGCUGAUAUCAGAAGUGGCGUUUGAUUGUAAAUCAGCAUUGAAUCACACCGAUUUCCCAGCCUAUUUCCCAGGUGCUUGCUUUUCUUUUUUUUGCUCUUCUGGUGGCGUGACUGUUCUCCUCACCUGCCUCAUGAUUCACCGUGUCUCUCCCCUUCCGCCCCCCCCAACCUCUCCACAAUUUUGUUUCACUAUCCUCUCAUUUUCCCCCACCCUUCCCACUCCCACUACAGGCAGCUGUUUAGGAGAUGUCUCAUUCUUACAUGCCUUUGAUUUUUUUUUCUUUUUUCACUCUGAGGUAAUUUGAUUGGUUGCUCAUAGUUUCUGGGUCCCUCCCACUUUGUAAUAAUUGAAGUUCCUGUAGUGUCCACGGCUUUUGGCUAUAAAGUAGCAAAAUUAAAUGCCCUUCUCUCCUGU
This is a long non-coding RNA of Paramormyrops kingsleyae, 1249 nucleotides long. RefSeq lists it as uncharacterized. The record is from RefSeq and is a predicted model, not a curated record. Lineage: Eukaryota; Metazoa; Chordata; Actinopteri; Osteoglossiformes; Mormyridae.